Molecule: long non-coding RNA, 2154 nt
Organism: Caretta caretta (loggerhead turtle)
Lineage: Eukaryota; Metazoa; Chordata; Testudines; Cheloniidae
Source: RefSeq, a predicted model, not a curated record
UUAAGAUGUUAAGCGGAUGACACGUCUUAGUUUCUGAGGAAUUUAAAGAAGCUCCUUCCUACCACCUAAUUAGACCAAUUACUUUGCAAGGAGCUGUGGGACUCAUUUCUGAUACAAGGUUGGGAGGAAUCAACAUCACUCUCACAGGGUCGGUCGGUUGUUUGCACUGUGCUCAGGUUGCCUAAUGAACCACUCUUCACUGCUUGAAUAUAGAAGCCAGAUCAUCUCCUAGUGAAAACAUCUAGAGGAAAAACUGCACCUUUUCUUCACUGUGUGUGUGUGCUAAAGUUAAAUCAGCAGAGGAAUUGUGUAUUGCAUCUCACUAGCAACUCUCACAGAACUGCCUGAGUGUGAACUGUUCAAGCUGUUCUCCACAUGUCACAUCUGCAGCAGGAAGUGCUAAGGAAGAGAUUGGUUCUUCCUGAUCCGUACACAGUCAUGCCAUAGGAUGGACAGACACACCACCCCACUGUUGAGCGGGUCAGACAGCCAAACUCCACUUCCCCAGUUUACUCUGCUUUGCUCCAUAUCCUGAUCUGUCUCCUCAUUGGCUGUGCUGUGCCACAGGCCAGCAGCUCAGAUCACCUCCUCCAGGCUGGACAGAUGGUGUUACGACUAUAAGAUGAUUAUCCCACAGCAAAUCCCGGGCCUUAGUCAUUCUCCCACAGAAGGUAUAAGAGAAACAUGAUUGCGUACCGUUUUAUUUCUUCAAACAACUGCUUUUGAAAGAAGUUAGAACCCUUCUUCCUCCUUUUCAGAUAAAGACUCUUGCCUGUGUCAUGAUGUUUACUUUCUAAUAUUGCUGCUUUUACUACCCUCUUUCAAAUUUCCAGUUAUUGGACUAUCACAUGGGUCACUCCAUGAAUCACAGAAGCUCAGAGUCCAACACUUAUUCAGGCAAACACAGGGAUCAGUCAAAAAUAUCUUUAUUGUAACUUGUAGGGUACAUGGUUGUUCUGUUUAAACGUAUUUAACCUAAUACAUUAGCCAGAUAAGCUAGGAUAGAUUUUGUAUAAUAUAUUUAUUGGCCUAUUUUAAAUGCAGGAAGUAAAAUACUUUUAGAUCUAAGUAAUGUCAAACAUACAUAAUCCAAGAGAAAAGAAAGGGAAGGGAAGAACAGGUACUUGUAACUUAUGUCAUGUGCAGAUUCUAGUUGCAUGCUACUAGGUAGUAAAAUACUUUAGUUUGUCCUUUCAAGGUUAGAGCCUGAUGCUGAAAAUAUUCCUGUACUCAAGUAACUUUAGUCAUGCAAGUAGUCCUCAUCCUACUGAGUUCAGUUUGACUAUAGAUGUAAAUAAAGUAACUCAGAUGUGUAAGAGUUUGCAGAGAGUCAGGCCAUUUCAUGGGAAAUAUUCCACAGAAUAUAUUUUUCCACUGUUGCUAAUGUAUUUUUGAACUUAAGUUUUUGUUAUCCAGUUUCAAACUCUCUUUCUUCCCCUUCUCCCAUCAACUGGGAUUGGGUUAUUGUGGAAGCAUCCACCAUCAUCAUCUGUCCCAGCUGGCAUUAAGUUUCAAUUACAUUGUUUUAAAGGGCUAAUUUUUUCAGAGAAUCAUGUCACUUGCUUAGAGAUGAAAACGAAUGGGGUUAAACAUUAGAGUUACUGGUUAUUACUAUGAAAAUAAUUUCUUCAGACCCAUAAAUGUGCAUUGUGAUUUUUAAAAAGUAAGUCAACCUCCUUGCCCCAAACAGAUCACAGUCCAAGAUACAUGUAUUACAUUUAAUUGUAUUAGACACAUUCAUUCAACAAACUACAAAACAAUGACAAAACUGAAAUUAACAUAUGUGCCAAUGAACCAGAAUAUUCAAACAGCUGAUUUACAUUUCUGACCUCUGAGAUUAAUGACAUUUGGCACCUGCCUAUCUCUGUUGAAAGCCAAUUCUGUAGUUCCUGAGCAUGGAGAUACAGAGCCUAUAUUACAAUGAGAAUAUUAAAACACCAAGCAGAAAUGUAAAUGUAAGAAAUGAUGGAACCCAUCUAAUGUCUGAACUGGGGACCACAGUACUUAUAGUUAACUGCAAACGAGCCCUGCCAGUCAGGUUUGAGUGCACUUUCUGUUGUCCUUAUUUUUCAAUCCCUUGGUAUCAUUCUAUUCCACCCUUUCAAAAUGUGCUUUUGUUUAUGUGCCAUGAAACACUAAAUUCAAGAGUGCUUC